UACGGGGGGAGCAAGCGUUGUUCGGAUUUACUGGGCGUAAAGGGCGCGUAGGCGGUCAGCACAAGUCAGUUGUGAAAUCUCCGGGCUUAACUCGGAAAGGUCAACUGAUACUGUGCGACUAGAGUGCGGAAGGGGCAACUGGAAUUCUCGGUGUAGCGGUGAAAUGCGUAGAGAUGUGGAGGAACACCGAUGGCGAAGGCAGCCUCCUGGGCCAGCACUGACGCUCAUGCACGAAAGCGUGGGGAGCAAACAGG
Molecule: ribosomal RNA, 254 nt
Filed under: uncultured bacterium
Lineage: Bacteria
Also listed under: 1 other name
Description: partial 16S ribosomal RNA
Rfam family: Bacterial small subunit ribosomal RNA
Source: RNAcentral